AGCUUCAGUAGCGUAUAUUAAAGUUGUUGCAGUUAAAAAGCUCGUAGUCGCAUUUCUGGCGAGAGGAUCCGGUCCGACCUUUUGGUGGGUUCUUGGGUCUCUUUCGCCAUCCUUGAGUGGUCCGUUCUGGCAUUAGGUUGUCGGAGCGUCAGCCGCUCAUCGUUUACUGUGAGAAAAUUAGAGUGUUCAAAGCAGGCUUAUGCCGUUGAAUAUAUUAGCAUGGAAUAAUAAGAUAGGACCUCGGUACUAUUUUGUUGGUUUGCGCACCAGGGUAAUGAUGAACAGGGACAGUUGGGAGUAUUUGUAUUUCGUUGUCAGAGGUGAAAUUCUUAGAUUUACGAAAGACAAACUACUGCGAAAGCAUUUACCAAGGAUGUUUUCA
RNAcentral lists this ribosomal RNA (382 nucleotides) under uncultured marine Chaetocerotaceae. RNAcentral's name for it is "SSU rRNA". It matches the Rfam family "Eukaryotic small subunit ribosomal RNA", at positions 587 to 972 of the family's 1831-position model. The record is from RNAcentral. Lineage: Eukaryota; Bacillariophyta; Thalassiosirophyceae; Chaetocerotales; Chaetocerotaceae.